RNA transcript from Panicum virgatum (switchgrass), 710 nucleotides. RefSeq lists it as uncharacterized. Lineage: Eukaryota; Viridiplantae; Streptophyta; Magnoliopsida; Poales; Poaceae. The transcript is spliced from 4 exons. The record is from RefSeq and is a predicted model, not a curated record.
CUCACCUCCUCUUCCCAUCCCCCCUCCUCCGAAACCCUAGCCAUGGCGUGGCGUGGCCACGCCACCCGGACCGUCCUCGCCGCCGUGCGCCGCCCGGCCACCGCGCCCGCGGCCGCGGCCGCUCGCCUCGGCGCCCCGCCCCCGUUCGCGGCCCCUCGCCGCCGCGUCCCGUCCGCGCGGGCUCUGGCGGCGUUGAUGGGGUCCCCGGUGACGGCGGCGUCGGUGAUGACGCGCCUCACGGCGCACCCGGGUGCCAGCGCGCGGGCGUGCUGCGAGCUCUCACAGGGAACUGGAAAAGAUGGGUGAUGCAAGAGAGGCCGUUGUAGAGCCUGCCAAAGGUGCUGAUUUGAAGCAUGUACUCCUUUGGUACUUGAAGCUGUUGUGUAGAUUCCAUCCUUUUGAAAGGAUAAAAAGAUAUAUCUUUUGGAAAGCUAUUCUGGCAUUUCAUCCACUGCAAAGUUAGAUGACUUUACCCAGCAAUAGCCAGUUUCCUCCUUAGGUUUCUAGAUUAGACUGAAAUAAAUUUUAUGCUACAUGGCAUUGCCCGUGGACUUGCAUUUUCUUUCUACGGUUUGUGAUCUCAUACAUCUGCUGAGAUUCUUUGGUGUCAAAUUUCAGUUGACCUGUUAAAUUAUAGUGUUACUACCGCGGUACUGCCUUUGUACCUUUGCAUGAGGUGUUAGCGCAAUUUGCAUUAUCAUCUGGAGUUC